GAGGAACUCCAACAGAUCCGGCGACGAGAAUAAAACUAGGACGAGAUGGCAGCUUCGCUUUUGUUUGCCGCGAGAAAGAUCUGCGGUCGCGCCCUUGGGCGACCACCGCAGUUGUAUUUUAGGGCGGCCGUUAAGGAGGAACAGAGUCUGCUGUUGCCAAGGAUUGGCCAUGGCAGGAGCUUCCCUCAACGCUUCAGCUCCUCUGAAUCAAGUCUUUCAAAAAAGGUACUCCCGCAGAAUCAGACCUAAUUCUGCCCUUGUCGAAUUUGCAGAAUAGGUAUAAUUUAUCGCGUUGAGAUCAACAAUACGAAUUCUACUUCCGCAGAUUUAGCAGCCUUUUCUUUCUUGUUAGAAUUCUUACCAUAUUGUGGCAAAAGAAACUGCUAGCGGAACAGCAUAAUCAGUUUUGGGCCAUGCUCUUGCUCAUUUUUUAAUCUUACAUUAUUUUUUCUGGCUCCACCAGAUCAAACGAUCUUAUAAAGGAGAUUCGUGCCCAAUCAAGGGAUUUCUUGAGUUGCGAAUUUAUUUUUGAAAGUCAUAUAGUUUGAAUUUUAAUGCUCACAAUUUAGCUAACUUUUCUUCUUCUUUAGCUGGGAGUCGCCACUUGUUGAUGGGUUUACCCCACGACCUGUUUGUUAUCCCUGUAAACCGUGCUUCUACCAAUCAAUAAGUGUGGUUUAUCCCUAAAGAAAAAACAUAUAUGAAACGAUCAAUCAUAUAUGCAAAGUUAGCGCUUACUAACUAUCUUUAUAUGUUCUACUCCAAAUUCUGUCUCACCGUUUGUAAGGCUAACUAUGUAAUUUUCUUUUGCGGGGCCACAGCAGCACGGACCUCAAUUAGCUGCAAACACUACAAAGUCGUCGAAGCACACACCAUGGUAAUUAUUAUGUCACAUGGACUACUCAGAUUUUAGAUGAUUGUAAACAACUUAUUUAAAUCCGCUUCUAAUUGAUUUAUGUUUUGAUUUUUGGUUCGUAUUAAGUCACCCCAAUUAUGUACGUAAUAUAUUUUUUGGGACAAUCGGGACGGCUAUAGGAGUCCUUGCAAUACUCUAUGGUGUGGCCCGUACACACGGGGGGCCGAUUUUUAGAGAACAACUAUUGGGCUUGCCGCCUAAACCAAGCAAGGAAGAUGAUUAGCCUUCGGAUGACGGCUAUUGGAGCUCACAACCAAGAAUGCCUGAAUAUGACCUGGUGUUGUUAUGGUGCUCGUUGGCCUGAACAUGAGCAUUAGUCUGUUGUGACUCUGGCUGAACAAAUUUACCGUGUUUGAAUAUUUACCGAGGACCGUUAUUUUGUUAUGGUGCUCAUUGGCCUAUUUACUUGUUCAUCAGUCUGUUUUGACGAAUUUACUAUGACGUGUUGUUAUGAUGAUGCUUAGUACUUUGAGCUCCUGUCGAUAUCCUUUCAGAUUAUUCAAUUUGUCAGAAUUUUGGUAUUGAGCAUCAGUCUAGUAUGAC
RNAcentral lists this long non-coding RNA (1459 nucleotides) under Triticum aestivum (bread wheat). RNAcentral's name for it is "long non-coding RNA (TAES_LNC025807)". The record is from RNAcentral. Lineage: Eukaryota; Viridiplantae; Streptophyta; Magnoliopsida; Poales; Poaceae.